This 276-nucleotide ribosomal RNA is filed under the name uncultured prokaryote. RNAcentral describes it as "partial 16S ribosomal RNA". It matches the Rfam family "Bacterial small subunit ribosomal RNA", at positions 524 to 800 of the family's 1533-position model. The record is from RNAcentral.
CACGGGGUUGCGAACGUUGUCCGGAAUUACUAGGCGUAAAGGGCAGGCAGGCGGAUCCAUAAGUUUAUCGUUUAAGGCGUCGGCUUAACCGGCGUAGGGCGGUAGAUACUGUGGAUCUGGAAUGCGGUUGGGGAAGACAGAAUUCCUGGUGUAGCGGUGGAAUGCGCAGAGAUCAGGAGGAAUACCGAAGGCGAAGGCAGUCUUCCAAGCCGUUAUUGACGCUCAACUGCGAAGGUGUGGGUAUCAAACAGGAUUAGAUACCUGCGUAGUCCCUGA